GGAUCAAUCUAUCGGUCGUGCAAUAGUACGUACUGAUUUUAUUGAUUCCUACCUUCUGAUGAACUAUGAUGUCAUUAAUUUGGUGUCAUAGGGAAUCAGGACUGUUACUUUGAAAAAAUUAGAGUGUUCAAAACAAGCUUAUGCUUGAAUACAUUAGCAUGGAAUAACGGAAUAGGACUU
RNAcentral lists this ribosomal RNA (180 nucleotides) under uncultured Glomeromycotina. RNAcentral describes it as "partial small subunit ribosomal RNA". The stretch from base 37 to 180 matches the Rfam family "Eukaryotic small subunit ribosomal RNA", at positions 684 to 830 of the family's 1831-position model. Lineage: Eukaryota; Fungi; Glomeromycota. The record is from RNAcentral.